AUUGAACGCUGGCGGCAGGCCUAACACAUGCAAGUCGAGCGCGCGGCGGACGGGUGAGUAAUGUAUGGGGACUGCCCGAUAGAGGGGGAUAACUACUGGAAACGGUGGCUAAUACCGCAUACUGUCGGAUAACCCCUAUGGGAUUAGCUAGUAGGUGAGGUAAUGGCUUACCUCGGCGACGAUCCCUAGCUGGUCUGAGAGGAUGAUCAGCCAAACUGGGACUGGGACACGGCCCAGACUCCUACGGAUGCAGCCGUGGGGAAUCUUCCGCAAUGGACGAAAGUCUGACGGAGCAACGCCGCGUGAGUGAUGACGGCCUUCGGGUUGUAAAGUUCUGUUAAUCGGGAGACGGUACCGGAAUAGAAAGCCACGGCUAAUUACGUGCCAGCAGCCGCGGUAAUU
Molecule: ribosomal RNA, 402 nt
Filed under: uncultured bacterium
Lineage: Bacteria
Description: partial 16S ribosomal RNA
Rfam family: Bacterial small subunit ribosomal RNA
Source: RNAcentral